GUGCUUGCCUGUUACACUGAGAGCCUGCCCAGAGGCCGGUAGCGCAGCACAAUGCGGGUGUUGUUUCUCCACCCGGACCUGGGUAUCGGUGGCGCCGAGCGGCUGGUGGUGGACGCUGGACUGGCACUGCAGCGGCGCGGCCACCAGGUCUCGUACGUCACCGCCCACCACGACCGGCAGCACUGCUUCCCCGAGACGCGCGACCAGCUGCCGGUGACGGUGCGCGUCGCCUGGCUGCCCGGCUCCGUCUGCGGCCGCCUGCGCGCCCUCUGCGUUUACGUGCGCAUGCUGUACGCGGCGCUGUGCGUGGUGCUGGCGCCCGGACCGCGGCCCGACCUGGUGUUCUGCGACCAGGUGUCGGCGUGCGUGCCGCUGCUGCGCUGGGCCGGCCUGCGCGUGCUCUUCUACUGCCACUUCCCGGACCAGCUGCUGACGGCGCGCCGCUCGGCGCUGAAGCGGCUCUACCGGGCGCCGCUCGACUGGCUCGAGGAGCGCUCCACGGGCGCCGCGCACCGCGUGCUCGUCAACAGCGCGUUCACGGGCGGAGUGUUCGCCGAGACGUUCCCCAGUCUGCGCGCCGGCCGGCAGCCGGACGUGCUGUACCCCUCGCUGGACCUGGCCGCCUUCGACGCGCCCCUGGAGACCACCGUGGAGCAGGUGCUGGGCGCCCCUCCGCCGCCGCACCUCCUCCUCUCCCUGAACCGGUUCGAGCGCAAGAAGAACCUGGCGCUGGCCCUGGAUGCGCUGGCGGAGAUGGAACGUCUUGACGCGGCGGCCGUGAGCCGCUGCCACCUGGUGUUAGCCGGCGGCUACGACCCGCAGAACGCCGAGAACAUCGCACACCUGGCGGAGCUGGAGGCGCACGCCGCCGAGCUGGGGGUAUCGGAGCGCGUUACCUUCCUCCGCUCGCCCAGCGACGCCGCCAAGCGCGCCCUGCUGCGCGCCGCCACGGCGGUCGUCUACACGCCCGACCGCGAGCACUUUGGUAUCGUGCCGCUGGAGGCGAUGUACUGCGGCGCGCCGGUGGUGGCCGCGGCCAGCGGCGGCCCGCUGGAGACGGUCGUCAGCGGCCAGACGGGCCUGCUGUGCGAGCCGCGCGCGCAGGAGUUCGCCGCUGCCCUGCUGCGGCUGGUGACCGAGCCAGAGACGGCGCGGCGGAUGGGGGAGGCCGGCCGCCGGCGCGUGCUGGAGAACUUCUCGUUCCAGGCGUUCGGUGAUCGGCUGGAGAAGAUAGUGACUGAGGUGGUGGCUGAGACGGCUGGGCAACCGGCGGCUGGAGCUGAAGCUACCAACGGAGCUUCAGUGGUGUUAAAAUGAGGCUAUUGGCGAAAUCCAGCAGGAUACUCAAACGCUCUCUGUCAGCGCCUGCCGUCGGAGAUGGCCCUCAAGGCCGCGUCCGAGCGUUGGCCACGGCUGCGCCAGAGAUGCCGCCCUGCGACUUUGUGCCUG
RNAcentral lists this unclassified non-coding RNA (1449 nucleotides) under Amphibalanus amphitrite. Its description in RNAcentral is "alanine--glyoxylate aminotransferase 2, mitochondrial-like, transcript variant X2". The record is from RNAcentral. Lineage: Eukaryota; Metazoa; Arthropoda; Thecostraca; Balanomorpha; Balanidae.